RNAcentral lists this unclassified non-coding RNA (328 nucleotides) under soil metagenome. RNAcentral describes it as "partial contains 5.8S ribosomal RNA, internal transcribed spacer 2, and large subunit ribosomal RNA". The stretch from base 1 to 120 matches the Rfam family "5.8S ribosomal RNA", at positions 35 to 154 of the family's 154-position model. The record is from RNAcentral.
GAUGAAGAACGUAGCGAAACGCGAUAAGUAAUGUGAAUUGCAGAAUCCAGUGAAUCAUCGAAUCUUUGAACGCACAUUGCGCCCCUUGGUAUCCCGAGGGGCAUGCCUGUUCGAGCGUCAUUUCACCACUCAAGCCUGGCUUGGUGUUGGGCGACGUCCUCUUUGGGGACGCGCCUCGAAACGCUCGGCGGCGUGGCACCGGCUUUAAGCGUAGCAGAAUCUUUCGCUUUGGAAGUCGGGGCCCCGUCUGCCGGAAGACCUGCUCGCAAGGUUGACCUCGGAUCAGGCAGGGAUACCCGCUGAACUUAAGCAUAUCAUAAGCGGAGGA